Molecule: ribosomal RNA, 301 nt
Filed under: uncultured bacterium
Lineage: Bacteria
Description: partial 16S ribosomal RNA
Rfam family: Bacterial small subunit ribosomal RNA
Source: RNAcentral
CAGCCGCCGCGGUAAUGCGUAGGUGGCAAGCGUUGUCCGGAAUUAUUGGGCGUAAAGCGCGCGCAGGCGGUUAGAUAAGUCUGAAGUUAAAGGCUGUGGCUUAACCAUAGUACGCUUUGGAAACUGUUUAACUUGAGUGCAAGAGGGGAGAGUGGAAUUCCAUGUGUAGCGGUGAAAUGCGUAGAUAUAUGGAGGAACACCGGUGGCGAAAGCGGCUCUCUGGCUUGUAACUGACGCUGAGGCUCGAAAGCGUGGGGAGCAAACAGGAUUAGAUACCCGUGUAGUCCCUGUCUCUUAUACA